Molecule: ribosomal RNA, 253 nt
Filed under: uncultured bacterium
Lineage: Bacteria
Description: partial 16S ribosomal RNA
Rfam family: Bacterial small subunit ribosomal RNA
Source: RNAcentral
UACGAGAGGCCCAAACGUUAUUCGGAAUUACUGGGCUUAAAGAGUUCGUAGGCGGCAUGAAAAGUAGGGUGUGAAAGCCCUCGGCUUAACCGAGGAAUUGCGCUCUAAACUGUCGUGCUUGAGGAACCUAGAGGUGAGCAGAACAGAUGGUGGAGCGGUGAAAUGCGUUGAUAUCAUCUGGAAUACCGGAGGCGAAGGCGGCUCACUGGGAGUUUUCUGACGCUGAGGAACGAAAGCCAGGGUAGCGAACGGG